Non-coding RNA from Schistosoma rodhaini, 45 nucleotides. The record is from Rfam. Lineage: Eukaryota; Metazoa; Platyhelminthes; Trematoda; Strigeidida; Schistosomatidae.
GUUCAGCUGACGAGUCCCAAAUAGGACGAAACGCGCGUCCUGGAU